This 355-nucleotide unclassified non-coding RNA is filed under the name soil metagenome. RNAcentral describes it as "partial contains 5.8S ribosomal RNA, internal transcribed spacer 2, and large subunit ribosomal RNA". The stretch from base 1 to 120 matches the Rfam family "5.8S ribosomal RNA", at positions 35 to 154 of the family's 154-position model. The record is from RNAcentral.
GAUGAAGAACGUAGCGAAAUGCGAUAAGUAAUGUGAAUUGCAGAAUUCAGUGAAUCAUCGAAUCUUUGAACGCACAUUGCGCCCAUUAGUAUUCUAGUGGGCAUGCCUGUUCGUGCGUCAUUAAGUCCACUUAAGCCCUGCUUAGUGUUGGGAGACUGCUCCAGCGGUGCUACCCUGUAGCUACCCUGCAGCUCCUCAAAGACAGCGGCGGAGUUGUGGUAUCCUCUGAGCUUAGUAACUUGUUCUAGCUUUCGAGUACACCACUUCCCCUGCCGUAAAACCCUUAAUUUUUAAUGGUUGACCUCGGAUCAGGUAGGAAUACCCGCUGAACUUAAGCAUAUCAAUAAGCGGAGGA